This 106-nucleotide microRNA precursor is filed under the name Nicotiana attenuata. Its description in RNAcentral is "MIR6152 microRNA precursor family". It matches the Rfam family "MIR6152 microRNA precursor family". Lineage: Eukaryota; Viridiplantae; Streptophyta; Magnoliopsida; Solanales; Solanaceae. The record is from Rfam by way of RNAcentral.
UGGACAGAUUAUUGUAUUCGACUGUAUUUUAAUGUAUUCACGGCGUGAAACAGGGGAUUACACUGUUUUUAAACGGAAAGUGAAUCAAUUAACAUAAUAGACUCCU